RNAcentral lists this ribosomal RNA (481 nucleotides) under uncultured bacterium. RNAcentral's name for it is "partial 16S ribosomal RNA". It matches the Rfam family "Bacterial small subunit ribosomal RNA", at positions 28 to 523 of the family's 1533-position model. The record is from RNAcentral.
GACGAACGCUGGCGGCGUGCUUAACACAUGCAAGUCGAGCGGAAAGGCCACUUCGGUGGUACUCGAGCGGCGAACGGGUGAGUAACACGUGAGUAAUCUGCCCCUGGCUUUGGGAUAGCCACCGGAAACGGUGAUUAAUACCGGAUACGACCACUUCUCGCAUGGGAUGGUGGUGGAAAGUUUUUUCGGCCAGGGAUGUGCUCGCGGCCUAUCAGCUCGAUGGUGAGGUAAUGGCUCACCAUGGCUUCGACGGGUAGCCGGCCUGAGAGGGUGACCGGUCACACUGGGACUGAGACACGGCCCAGACUCCUACGGGAGGCAGCAGUGGGGAAUAUUGGACAAUGGGCGGAAGCCUGAUCCAGCAACGCCGCGUGAGGGAUGACGGCCUUCGGGUUGUAAACCUCUUUCAGCAGGGACGAAGCGCAAGUGACGGUGCCUGCAGAAGAAGCACCGGCCAACUACGUGCCAGCCGCCGCGGUAA